This is a long non-coding RNA of Aethalodelphis obliquidens (Pacific white-sided dolphin), 762 nucleotides long. RefSeq lists it as uncharacterized. The transcript has 3 exons. The record is from RefSeq and is a predicted model, not a curated record. NCBI's taxonomy places the organism in Eukaryota, Metazoa, Chordata, Mammalia, Artiodactyla, Delphinidae.
UGUAGCUUCCUUGGGAGGGUGGAGGGUGUGGGAAGUGACUCUUUCCAAACAUUUCCAUCUUAUUUUCUCCUAGGAUGCCCAUCCAGGCAACCUGCAUUGCAUAUGUUUUUUGAGGUCCAGAGGCUGGCAGGAAAAGGUUCUACGGGGGCCACACGAGGAUGGAACCACAGAGCAUCACUUAGGGCUCAUCACUCUGGCUUAGACUCAAGGCCAACUAGGACUGCUGACCAUACCUUGCUUACUGUCAGGAAGUCUUCCCUGACUGCACCCAUGAUUGCCUCGGGUGCCUACUGACUGAUGAAUGGCUCUGACUUGGGAACCUUUUGCUGUAGAACACAGUGCCUCUGGGAGCAGAGAACUUCUCGGGCCUGGCGAGACCAAUCUGAGGAACUGGCUGGCACGAGGCAUGAAUGAGCGCCUGGAUGCCCGGUACUUGGGCACAGAACUGCUGGCUAUUGAGUGUUCGGUCAGCUUUUGUCACCAUGGGAGUCAGGCUCUCUCACUGCAGCCACUGCGAACAGGAAUCCCCACCAGGCUUUCCCCGCUGAGCAGCAGAAUCUGAUGUAAACCUCUAAGCAGAGUGACUUGAGUGUCACCAGUCUCUGAAACAUUUCCGAGAGAGAAGCGAGUGAUUGAGCAUCUAUGUGUGUACAUGCUUCUUUCUGUUGCUAAAACACCAGUUUUCUCAUGGAAAAGCCUGUGAACCACUGAGUUAAAACAGGAGCAGAUGGUGCUUUGUGACCACCUAGAGGGGUGGGAUAG